GGAGGUGUUUAGUCCGUAGGCGUAUUUACUAAUACGAAUCGGACAUGCCCUUAGCGACGGCGCUUUGGGUAUCUAGGAAGAUUCACCUACC
Molecule: non-coding RNA, 91 nt
Organism: Drosophila ananassae
Lineage: Eukaryota; Metazoa; Arthropoda; Insecta; Diptera; Drosophilidae
Source: Rfam